This 440-nucleotide ribosomal RNA is filed under the name uncultured bacterium. Its description in RNAcentral is "partial 16S ribosomal RNA". It matches the Rfam family "Bacterial small subunit ribosomal RNA", at positions 338 to 795 of the family's 1533-position model. The record is from RNAcentral.
CCUACGGGCGGCAGCAGUGGGGGAUAUUGCACAAUGGGGGGAACCCUGAUGCAGCGACGCCGCGUGUGGGAAGACGGUCCUCUGGAUUGUAAACCACUGUCCCCAGGGACGAAAAUGACGGUACCUGGGGAGGAAGCUCCGGCUAACUACGUGCCAGCAGCCGCGGUAAUACGUAGGGAGCGAGCGUUGUCCGGAAUUACUGGGUGUAAAGGGAGCGUAGGCGGGGAUGCAAGUUGGGUGUCAAAACUACCGGCUCAACUGGUAGUCGCACUCAAAACUGCAGCUCUUGAGUGAAGUAGAGGCAGGCGGAAUGCCUGGUGUAGCGGUGAAAUGCGUAGAUAUUAGGAGGAACACCAGUGGUGAAGGCGGCCUGCUGGGCUUUUACUGACGCUGAGGCUCGAAAGUGUGGGGAGCAAACAGGAUUAGAUACCCUUGUAGUC